Molecule: ribosomal RNA, 318 nt
Filed under: Schinkia azotoformans
Lineage: Bacteria; Bacillati; Bacillota; Bacilli; Caryophanales; Bacillaceae
Description: Bacillus azotoformans partial 23S ribosomal RNA
Source: RNAcentral
CUUAGGAUGGUUAUAGUUACCACCGCCGUUUACUGGGGCUUAAAUUCUGAGCUUCGCCGAAGCUAACCCUUCCUCUUAACCUUCCAGCACCGGGCAGGCGUCAGUCCGUAUACAUCGUCUUGCGACUUAGCACGGACCUGUGUUUUUAGUAAACAGUCGCUUCCCACUGGUCUCUGCGGCCUUCAAACGCUCCAGGAGUAAAUCCCUUCACGCCUCAGGCCCCCCUUCUCCCGAAGUUACGGGGGCAUUUUGCCGAGUUCCUUAACCACGAUUCUCUCGAUCUCCUUGGUAUUCUCUACCUGACCACCUGAGUCGGUU